AGCAGCCGCGGUAAUUCCAGCUCCAAUAGCGUAUAUUAAAGUUGUUGCAGUUAAAAAGCUCGUAGUUGAAUUUCGGGAUUAAUAUGUUGGUCGUGCCUUGGUACGUACUGGCAUUAUUGGUUUCUACCUUCUGAAGAACCUCGAUGUCAUUAAUUUGGUGUCUUGGGGAAUCAGGACUGUUACUUUGAAAAAUUAGAGUGUUUAAAGCAGGCUCGCGCUUGAAUACAUUAGCAUGGAAUAAUGAAAUAGGACGUUUGAUUCUAUUUUGUUGGUUUCUAGGAUUGACGUAAUGAUUAAUAGGGAUAGUUGGGGGCAUUAGUAUUCAAUUGUCAGAGGUGAAAUUCUUGGAUUUAUUGAAGACUAACUACUGCGAAAGCAUUUGCCAAGGAUGUUUUCAUUAAUCAAGAACGAAAGUUAGGGGAUCGAAGACGAUCAGAUACCGUCGUAGUCUUAACCAUAAACUAUGCCGACUAGGGAUCGGAUGAUGUUAAUUUUUAAUGACUC
Molecule: ribosomal RNA, 504 nt
Filed under: uncultured Glomus
Lineage: Eukaryota; Fungi; Glomeromycota; Glomeromycetes; Glomerales; Glomeraceae
Description: SSU rRNA
Rfam family: Eukaryotic small subunit ribosomal RNA
Source: RNAcentral